Carassius gibelio (silver crucian carp) is the source of this 2793-nucleotide RNA transcript. It is a transcript of the gene named zinc finger protein 883, with no coding region annotated. The transcript is spliced from 8 exons. The record is from RefSeq and is a predicted model, not a curated record. Lineage: Eukaryota; Metazoa; Chordata; Actinopteri; Cypriniformes; Cyprinidae.
CUGACCGAAUAAUCGCAGACAAGAAAACCAACGACUUUUAUUUUGCAGACAUUUUUAUUUUUAUGGAAGUGAACACAGAAAUCGCGGUAUCGUUUGUGGUCUUACUUCAUUCACUCACUUUAUAUAUCAGAAAUGACAGUUACCGAUUGAGCACAAUGGCGGAGUAUGACCUAUUCCGCAAACAGACUGUGUCUAUAAUGACGCUUUUGAUAGAAACAGUCCUAGACGAGAUUCAGAAAGUUUUUGAAUGUGAAUGUGGCCCAUUUCACAAUGAAAUCAGUAACGUUGGUGACAGAGAUCUGAUAUCGGAGAUGAAUGAAAAACAACGCAGAAUGGUCAAGCUGACAGCUGUGAUGGAGACCUUUACCAAGGUGGCUGUUCAAAAAAUAUGCAAAGUGUUCAGUUAUUGCUUUGCGCUUAAGCCAACUCAGUUGCAGGGUUUUAAAAGUUACCAUGAUGACGUAAUAAAUGUAAAAGAGUUGGCGAAGCAGCAUUUGAAGAAACCAGAAAGUAAAACCAGUCAUGCUGUCAGAGAUGUGUCUGCUACAUCAAUGUCUCAGGAGAGACAUAAACUGCUCACUGUGUUACCUGAAGAAACUGUUCAACCACAAGAUUCGGUUAAAGGCAGAGAGCGUGCAAAGGAGGAUCAAGUCUCUGAAGCUUGUCAAAGUAGUGGACGAGAGAACCCAGUGCUAGCAUUUUUUAUAGUUGAAAACAGCAGCAUCGCCUCAGUUGAGGACCAGCAAGCUGAAGAAAACGCACAAGCAGGACAAAUAAGUACAAAAUCUGAAAAACCCAAGAAGACAAAGCCAUAUGACUGUAAAGAGUGCGGAAAGAAAUAUUUCUAUAGACGCUCACUAGAUCAGCACAAGUGCGGACAUUUAAAAGGACCUCACAGUUGUGAGCAGUGCGGGAAGAAGUUUAAAUACUUGAAAGGAUUAAGAAAACACCUACUGAAUCACACAGAGAAGAAAGGGAUCUGUAAAACAUGUGGGAAAGCCUUCGUAAAUCUUAAGAUGCACGAACGUGUCCACCUGGAAGUGAAGCCGUUUCUGUGUUCCACAUGUGGACACAGCUUCACCGUGAAGGGAAGUUUACUGGCACACCAGAGGAUCCAUACAGGUGAGAAACCGUACAGUUGUGAGAUCUGCGGGAAGCACUUUACACACUCAAGCAACCUCGCCUGCCAUCUGCUCACUCACUCCAGUGACAGGCCGUGGAAAUGCACCCUCUGUGACAAGACUUUCAAAACGGAAAAGAAAAUGAAGAUGCACCAGCUCGUGCAUACGGGAGAGAAACCCCAUGUAUGUAGCAGAUGUGGGCAGAAGUUUGGCCACAUUACAAAUCUCAGAAGGCAUCUCCUCAUGCACAACGGUGUGAAGCGCCACGUCUGUGAAAUCUGUUCCAAGCAGUUUUAUCAGAGCAAGUCUCUGAAGAGGCAUAUGGGAAUACAUGGAGCUCUGAAGGCAUUUAUGUGUGAAAUAUGUGGGAAGAGCUUUGUUUUUAACUAUGCCCUACAGAAACACUUACUCACACAUGGUGAUAAAGCCAGUCUGAAUGGCAAAUCUAAAGAUGGGAAGUCUUUCCCGUGUGACGAAUGCGGAAGGUGCUACAGUUCGACCGCUAUGCUCCGAAUACAUCAGAGACUUCAUACGGAAAAGGAUCCGUACAUGUGUAAAGUCUGCGGGAAAAGCUAUAGCAGCUUGUAUUCGCUGAAGGAACACGAGAAGCUUCAUUCGGGGUUGACACCGUUCAAGUGUGACAUCUGUGAUAAGACUUUUACUCAGAAAGUUGGUUUGAAAAUGCACGAGGUUGUUCAUACCAAAGCCAAACCGUACAGAUGUUCUGUUUGCGGAAGCCAGUUCGGGCUUCCACACAGUCUGAGACUGCAUAUGCGCAUUCACUCCGGCGAAAAGCCACACAAGUGCGAAACGUGCGGAAUGUGCUUUCGCUUAUCUGGAAACUUGAGGCGGCAUGAGCGGAUCCACACCGGCGAGAGGCCGUUCAGCUGUGAGGCCAAAGACGUGCAGCUCUGUUGAAACUCCUCUCAACAUGAAACAAAACAACACUCAGACUCAGGAUGCACAGGAGAGUCAUGCAAACAGAUGUCCUUUAGUGGAGGACAGAGCAGAAGACAACAUUCAGACUGUAGUAACUGUUUAUGCUGAUGAAAGGUUACUCUGAAGAUCAGGAAGGUUUGUUGCAAACAUCAGCCGAGCAACCUGAAAAGCCACAAGAUGACGAGUCUUUGAAUGUGAGCAGUGUGGAAAGGCCUUUUUCUGUAGUUCACCACAAACGUAUGCAUUCGGUCAUAAAGCUGCACUGCUGUGAAAAAUGUGGGAAGAGGUUCUCACAAGUAAGAGCGCUAGAGACACAUCUCUGCAAACAUAUGCAGAAGUUUGAGUUAUUUCCCUGCACUACUCGUGGAAAAAGCUUUAGAGACCUUGAGCCGCAUGAACGGGUCCAUGCGGAAGUCAAACUAUUUACCUGUGAUAUAUAUUCGGACAGUGAUAGACAGUUAGUGACAAAGUGUGCCAUAUAUAUAUAUAUCAGAUAUAUGUAAGAUUUAUAUUAUCAUGAUACAUUCACGAAGUACAAAUUCAUAUGUUGGCAUGGUUAUGGAAAACCUGCAAAUAUGAGGGAAUUUGAAAUGUGAUUUAUUAUAAAUCAUUAUUGUUAUAAUUAAUACUGCCUUCAGUCAUAAAAAAAAGAUGUCAAUAAACAAAUAUAAAAAUAUAUAUACUGUCUUCAUAUGUUGUUUGUACAUUAAUUAGAAGAUUGAAUGUGAAAUUA